CCUACGGGAGGCAGCAGUAGGGAAUCUUGCUCAAUGGGGGAAACCCUGACGCAGCAACGCCGCGUGGAGGAUGAAGGUUUUCGGAUUGUAAACUCCUUUUGUUAGAGAAGAUAAUGACGGUAUCUAACGAAUAAGCACCGGCUAACUCCGUGCCAGCAGCCGCGGUAAUACGGUGGGUGCAAGCGUUACUCGGAAUCACUGGGCGUAAAGAGAGCGUAGGCGGGAUAGUAAGUCAGAUGUGAAAUCCUAUGGCUUAACCAUAGAACUGCAUUUGAAACUGGUAUUCUAGAGUAUGGGAGAGGUAGGUGGAAUUCUUGGUGUAGGGGUAAAAUCCGUAGAGAUCAAGAGGAAUACUCAUUGCGAAGGCGACCUGCUAGAACAUAACGGACGCUGAUGCGCGAAAGCGUGGGGAGCAAACAGGAUUAGAUACCCUAGUAGUC
RNAcentral lists this ribosomal RNA (440 nucleotides) under uncultured bacterium. RNAcentral's name for it is "partial 16S ribosomal RNA". It matches the Rfam family "Bacterial small subunit ribosomal RNA", at positions 338 to 795 of the family's 1533-position model. The record is from RNAcentral.